CUGUCUCAUCAACAGUGGCUACAUGAAGUUUAGUCGCUGUUAGCAGCCUCCAGGAGCUUUUUUGGCUUGUGCAGUUUUUCGAAAGAAUUGCUGGAUGUCCAUCGCCAACAGNNNUGGAUGUCCAUCGCCAACAGCUUGCAAGCACAGAUUGCUUCCUUCCAAUCUGAUUGGACUCCCGUCUCCUGCAUAACUCCAUCUUUGUGGUUGCUUGCAUUUUCCUGUAAGAAG
This 228-nucleotide long non-coding RNA is filed under the name Ricinus communis (castor bean). Its description in RNAcentral is "long non-coding RNA (RCOM_LNC000045)". Lineage: Eukaryota; Viridiplantae; Streptophyta; Magnoliopsida; Malpighiales; Euphorbiaceae. The record is from RNAcentral.